RNAcentral lists this ribosomal RNA (449 nucleotides) under uncultured bacterium. RNAcentral's name for it is "bacterial SSU rRNA". It matches the Rfam family "Bacterial small subunit ribosomal RNA", at positions 355 to 796 of the family's 1533-position model. The record is from RNAcentral.
UGGGGAAUAUUGGACAAUGGGCGAAAGCCUGAUCCAGCAAUGCCGCGUGUGUGAAGAAGGCCUUCGGGUUGUAAAGCACUUUCAGUGGGGAAGAAAAGCUCAGGGUUAAUACCCCUGAGUAUUGACGGUACCUACAGAAGAAGCACCGGCUAACUCUGUGCCAGCAGCCGCGGUAAUACAGAGGGUGCAAGCGUUAAUCGGAAUUACUGGGCGUAAAGCGCGCGUAGGUGGGCGUUUAAGUCGGAUGUGAAAGCCCCGGGCUUAACCUGGGAAUUGCAUUCGAGACUGAAUGUCUUGAGUAUAGUAGAGGAAAGUGGAAUUUCCGGUGUAGCGGUGAAAUGCGUAGAUAUCGGAAGGAACACCAGUGGCGAAGGCGGCUUUCUGGACUAAUACUGACACUGAGGUGCGAAAGCGUGGGGAGCAAACAGGAUUAGAUACCCCCGUAGUCC